This 300-nucleotide ribosomal RNA is filed under the name uncultured Alteromonas sp. RNAcentral describes it as "bacterial SSU rRNA". It matches the Rfam family "Bacterial small subunit ribosomal RNA", at positions 496 to 795 of the family's 1533-position model. Lineage: Bacteria; Pseudomonadati; Pseudomonadota; Gammaproteobacteria; Alteromonadales; Alteromonadaceae. The record is from RNAcentral.
GCGCAGUACGUGGCAGGAGCCGGGGUAAGACUUAGGGGGCAAGGUGUGGCCGGCUGCAUUGGGGUUGAGGUGCGUGUAGGCGGCCAGGUAGGUCGGUUGUGAAAACUGGAGGCUGAACCUUCAGAGGUCGACCGAAACCAUCUGGCUAGAGUCCGGGAGAGGAGAGUGGAAUUCCUGGUGUAGCGGUGAAAUGCGCAGAUAUCAGGAAGAACACCCGUGGCGAAAGCGGCUCUCUGGAACGGUACUGACGCUGAGACGCGAAAGCGUGGGGAGCGAACAGGAUUAGAUACCCCGGUAGUC